AAUUUUGGACAAUGGGGGCAACCCUGACGCAGCAACGCCGCGUGGAGGAUGAAGUCCCUUGGGAUGUAAACUCCUUUCGACCGGGAAGAUGAUGACGGUACCGGUGGAAGAAGCACCGGCUAACUCUGUGCCAGCAGCCGCGGUAAUACGUAGGCAGCAAGCGUUGUUCGGAAUUACUGGGCGUAAAGAGUGUGUAGGCGGUGCUCUAAGUUCGGUGUGAAAUCUCCCGGCUCAACUGGGAGGGUGCGCCGAAAACUGGGGUGCUGGAGCGCGGGAGAGGAAAGCGGAAUUCCUGGUGUAGCGGUGAAAUGCGUAGAUAUCAGGAGGAACACCGGCGGUGUAGACGGCUUUCUGGACCGUAGCUGACGCUGAGACACGAAAGCGUGGGUAGCAAAC
This 396-nucleotide ribosomal RNA is filed under the name uncultured bacterium. RNAcentral describes it as "bacterial SSU rRNA". It matches the Rfam family "Bacterial small subunit ribosomal RNA", at positions 360 to 773 of the family's 1533-position model. The record is from RNAcentral.